Molecule: long non-coding RNA, 1482 nt
Organism: Phacochoerus africanus (Common warthog)
Lineage: Eukaryota; Metazoa; Chordata; Mammalia; Artiodactyla; Suidae
Exons: 2
Source: RefSeq, a predicted model, not a curated record
ACACAUGUGCCUAAUCAUGUGUGCGUGUGUGUAUACACUCAUAUAUAUACAUGUACAAUUUUAUAUAAACGUAUCUAAACACAUCACACACAUAGCCACUACUUUGUAAUGUUGUACAAAAUGUUUUAUAUCUCGUUUUUUGUUACUAUUACAUUUGGCCCCUUUAAUGUGUUUUAAAUAGAUUAAAAAGGUAAAUUCUGUCGAUUAAGGCAAUUGAAUGACAAUUACUGAGCUAUCAAAAAAAUAUUAAACUGGUGUAUUUAAUGUGUAUUUACAUGUGUAUUUAAGGUACAGUAGAUAGAAUCCUGCCCGCCCGCAUGUCUAUAUCCCAAGCCCCAGAACCUGUGAAUAUGUUGGGUUAAAGGGCAAAGGCAAAUAAGGUUGCACGUGGAAUUAUGGUACUAACCUACUGACCUUGAAAGCGGUAGAGUAUGCUGGAUUCUCCAGUGGACCUGGUAUAAUCACAAGAGUCCUUAAAAGUAGAAGAGGGACUUGAGACAGUGCAAGUCAGAAAUGUGAGAUGUGGAAGAGUCAGAGAGGCAACAUUGCAGGCUUUGGUUACGUACAGGAGAUACAGGAAGAAGUUGCUGCAGUUACAGGAAGGAGCCAUAUGCCAAGGAAUGUAUAUAGAAAAGGCAAAGGAAGCUUCUCCCCUGGAGCCUCCAGAAACGAACAUGGCCCUGCCUCGACACUUUGGUUUUAGCCCGGUGGAACCUGUGUUAGACUCAUAUUUACAGAACAGCAAGGUAAUAAAUGGGUUAAGUCACUAAGUUUGUGAUAAUGUGUUACAGCAACCAGAGACAACUAAUAUACUCAGGACAACUAACUUUUUGGUCAUUUUUAUUUUGGAAAUACUGUUCUUGUUCAUUUGGGUAAUCUUUAUUCUGGAAAUACUUUGCUAAUCUGUUUAGAAUUUCAAUAAAUAUGAAAUAACUGAAAAUCUUGGUUAAUAUGCUACUUCAAAGUUACAGAUGCCUUCUGAGAAUGACUUAACAUGUUGGAUGCUCAUGUUUUCUCACAUUUGCACGGUUUUACUAUAAAUAAAAAUGAGGCAUGUUAAAUGCUGUGGUGUAUGAACAUCAUGUUCAGAUCCUUUUGUAAUGGGGAUAAUCACUGUCAUUUUGUUUUCUGGGCCAAGAGUUAGAGAAAAAUGAGCUCAGACCAAGGGGCUUUAUGUUACCUAGACAACCAUACAAAGCAGGAGUUCUUAAUUGAUUUCUACAGCCCUUUCCUGCUUGGAGGCAUCUAUGGUUUUGCAUAACCCCUGUCAUUUAAUUGAUAAUGCUGCAAGUUACCCCCUGCUGUGUUAUUGUGACCAAGACAAAAUGAACUCUCCCCUUGGUGUUCAUGAGCAGCUAUCAUGACAGCCAGCAGCAGUUCUGCCGUGACUGAUCACUUCCAGAACUGCUGCCCAGGACUCCUGGCUCCAACGGAGCUUCCAGGUUUCAAAUGAUGAGAAGAAUUAUAGCAACAAUGAAAACA